This 230-nucleotide ribosomal RNA is filed under the name uncultured bacterium. Its description in RNAcentral is "partial 16S ribosomal RNA". It matches the Rfam family "Bacterial small subunit ribosomal RNA", at positions 561 to 790 of the family's 1533-position model. The record is from RNAcentral.
UAAAGGGUGCGUAGGCGGUUUAUUAAGUCAGUGGUGAAAGACGGUCGCUCAACGAUUGCAGUGCCAUUGAUACUGGUAGACUUGAGUGAGAUUGAGGUAGCUGGAAUGGAUAGUGUAGCGGUGAAAUGCAUAGAUAUUAUCCAGAACACCAAUUGCGUAGGCAAGUUACUAAGUCUCAACUGACGCUGAGGCACGAAAGUGUGGGUAUCAAACAGGAUUAGAUACCCUGU